This 233-nucleotide ribosomal RNA is filed under the name Detonula confervacea. RNAcentral describes it as "partial Bacterial large subunit ribosomal RNA". It matches the Rfam family "Bacterial large subunit ribosomal RNA", at positions 1929 to 2161 of the family's 2925-position model. Lineage: Eukaryota; Bacillariophyta; Thalassiosirophyceae; Thalassiosirales; Thalassiosiraceae. The record is from RNAcentral.
GGCGGUGGUAACUAUAACCAUCCUAAGGUAGCGAAAUUCCUUGUCGGGUAAGUUCCGACCUGCACGAAUGACAUAAUGAUGGCAGCGCUGUCUCCAGCAGAGACUCAGUGAAAUCGAAAUCGCAGUGAAGAUGCUGUGUACCCGCGGCUAGACGGAAAGACCCCGUGAACCUUUACUACAGCUUUACAUUGAACUUUGACCUGACUUGUGCAGGAUAGGUGGGAGGCUUUGAA